GAUGAACGCUGGCGGCGUGCCUAAUACAUGCAAGUCGAGCGAUCAGACGAGGAGCUUGCUCCUCUGACGUUAGCGGCGGACGGGUGAGUAACACGUGGAUAACCUACCUAUAAGACUGGGAUAACUUCGGGAAACCGGAGCUAAUACCGGAUAAUAUAUUGAACCGCAUGGUUCAAUAGUGAAAGACGGUUUUGCUGUCACUUAUAGAUGGAUCCGCGUCGCAUUAGCUAGUUGGUAAGGUAACGGCUUACCAAGGCAACGAUGCGUAGCCGACCUGAGAGGGUGAUCGGCCACACUGGAACUGAGACACGGUCCAGACUCCUACGGGAGGCAGCAGUAGGGAAUCUUCCGCAAUGGGCGAAAGCCUGACGGAGCAACGCCGCGUGAGUGAUGAAGGUCUUCGGAUCGUAAAACUCUGUUAUUAGGGAAGAACAAAUGUGUAAGUAACUAUGCACGUCUUGACGGUACCUAAUCAGAAAGCCACGGCUAACUACGUG
This 497-nucleotide ribosomal RNA is filed under the name uncultured bacterium. Its description in RNAcentral is "partial 16S ribosomal RNA". It matches the Rfam family "Bacterial small subunit ribosomal RNA", at positions 28 to 507 of the family's 1533-position model. The record is from RNAcentral.